ACGAACGCUGGCGGCGUGCUUAACACAUGCCAGUCGUACGGGCCCGCUCUCUUUUUUGGGGGUGGGUUGAGUGGCGAACGGGUGAGUAUUACGUGAGUAACCUGCCCCCUGCUCCUGGAUAACUGCUUGAAAGGGCGGCUAAUACGGGGUGUGCCGGCUGGUUCGCAUGGGCCUGGUCGGGAUUGUUUCAUCUUCGGGUGUUUCGGUUGGGGAUGGGCUCGCGGCUUAUCCGCUUGUUGGUGGGGUGAUGGCCCACCAAGGCGGUGUCGGUUAGCCGGCCGGGGAGGAUGAGCAGCCACACUGGGAGUGGGACACGGACCAGAAUAAUGAGGGAGGCAGCAGUGGGGGGUAUUACCCAAUGGGCGAAAGCAAGAUGCAGCGACGUCGAGUGAGGGAUGGAGGCCUUCGGGUUGUGAACCUCUUUAUCCGGUGGUGAAGGCCCUGUCCGUAGCAGCGGGAUUGACGGUAGCAGGGUAUGAAGCGCCAGCUAACUACGUG
RNAcentral lists this ribosomal RNA (498 nucleotides) under uncultured bacterium. RNAcentral describes it as "partial 16S ribosomal RNA". It matches the Rfam family "Bacterial small subunit ribosomal RNA", at positions 29 to 507 of the family's 1533-position model. The record is from RNAcentral.